RNAcentral lists this long non-coding RNA (1630 nucleotides) under Amazona collaria (yellow-billed parrot). RNAcentral's name for it is "lncRNA (ENSACOG00000000365.1)". The record is from RNAcentral. Lineage: Eukaryota; Metazoa; Chordata; Aves; Psittaciformes; Psittacidae.
ACUGCUUUUGCACGGGGACACAUGUUCGUGAUGGUUAACUGAGACCACUUCACCCUGGGUGUAACCUCCUUCCCACCAUGCGAUGGAGCAGGGGGCUCUCAGCAAAGAACUGUGCUUCAGCCAGUGCUCAUAGCACUGGUUUGUAUUUGAGUUGUGGGAUCACAGCGCUCUCUGGUGUGAGAGUUUGCUCUGAGCUGGAACUUAAUGAAAUAAUAAAUAAAAUUGAAGCUACUGAUGCUUUUUUAACCACAAUCUAAAAAGAAUCACCCUGCAGGCGGAGGGUGAGGAGCUCCAUUAGAGCUUCAACACCAGACAGGCUUGUGACUCAAAGGAUUUAAAGGAGGGGGGGAGCACUUAGUGCUAAAAUAACAUAAGACAAAGGGCUGGAAGCCCACAGGAAGAUGAGUCUUGAUACCAGCAUCAUCCAAAUGCAGAAACUUGAGCAGUUUCUCAUAAGGUUUUAUUUUUAACCUAGAGCCAAAUUUAUACCAGUGGAUCUGUAGCAGCUCCUCAUAGCACUGGAGACCAUUUCUGGAUUCUUUGCAGUCAUCAGUGUGCCCAGGAAAGAGAAAGUACCUGAAAUACGUAAGUUUGAACCCUUGUAACUGCAGUGGUGCAAGUGGUGAUUCCCCACUAGUGUCCAACCAGAAGGUGCUCUGUAGCAGGUACUCCAGAGCAGGUAUCUGAACCUUCUGGCCCGGUUCCUGAUGGGACCCAGGGGGUUACAGGAGGCAGAGGAACGGCUGAACUAAACCCACUGAGCAUUCAGUGGUCAUUUCCUGCGUAUCUGGAAUUUCAGUGAAGUUCUGCUGCUCUGCCGGGUUGGUUUUAGAAGCAAGGCAUUGCUCCUGCUGCGAUAGAAGCAGCAAGGGGCAGAAGAUAACAGUGUGUGCCCUGAGCUUGCGGUAAACCCCAUGAGGAGGAAGGUCUGCCCUGUUGCUGCAUGGAUCUUGAAGUUCUUGCCUCACUUCCUUACCAGUUGGUCUUUUUGCUGACGUGCAUCUACCUGCCAGCCUCGCUGCUGAGCCUCCUGGGCAGUGGAUCCAUCCUCGCUGUCACCUCCCGGCGGAGGCGAUGCUGCCACAUCCAGCUUCGUCCUCUUUGCCUCCUUGCCCUGGCAGAUCUUCUGGCAGCUGCCUCGGUGCUGGGCACGGCCACCAUCCAGGUGUUCCCAGCACCUCUCUUCAUCCCAGCCUAUGCUGCCUGCCCCUAUGGAUGGAUGCUGGCCACGACGUUCUAUGCAAUCUCCUUCCUGAUGGUGGUUGUCUAUGCGUUCGAGUCCUAUCGCAUGGUGCACGGCUGGAGAGCCCGGCACGUGGCAGCUCUGCAGGCUGGUGCCGGCGCUGACGCUCCUGGGGCAGCUCAUUGCCCGCGGCACAUCUCUCACUGACAUCGCACCGAGACACCUCGAGCCCAUCGUGCCAUGGAGGGGCAAUGGCUCCCACGAGACCUACAGCCUCUACUGCUCCAGGUAUGCUGCUGGGUGACCCCGGUGGGUUUGGGUGUGCUGCAGCCCCUGCAAGGCACACAAGGGACAGCUCUGGAUGGUGAAGGCUUUGGGAUGGGGAUUAGGGGACCACCACCAGCAUCCUCUGUCCUUUCAGCUGCCUGCUCCUCAUCCACCAUGCCC